Molecule: ribosomal RNA, 433 nt
Filed under: uncultured bacterium
Lineage: Bacteria
Description: partial 16S ribosomal RNA
Rfam family: Bacterial small subunit ribosomal RNA
Source: RNAcentral
AACGAACGCUGGCGGCAUGCCUAACACAUGCAAGUCGAACGAGACCUUCGGGUCUAGUGGCGCACGGGUGCGUAACGCGUGGGAACCUGCCCUUAGGUUCGGAAUAACUCCCCGAAAGGGGUGCUAAUACCGGAUAAUGUCUUCGGACCAAAGAUUUAUCGCCUUUGGAUGGGCCCGCGUUGGAUUAGCUAGUUGGUAGGGUAAAAGCCUACCAAGGCGACGAUCCAUAGCUGGUCUGAGAGGAUGACCAGCCACACUGGGACUGAGACACGGCCCAGACUCCUACGGGAGGCAGCAGUGGGGAAUAUUGGACAAUGGGCGAAAGCCUGAUCCAGCAAUGCCGCGUGAGUGAUGAAGGCCUUAGGGUUGUAAAGCUCUUUUACCCGGGAUGAUAAUGACAGUACCGGGAGAAUAAGCGCCGGCUAACUCCGUG